AUACGUAGGGGACGAGCGUUGUCCGGAAUUACUGGGCGUAAAGGGCGCGCAGGCGGUAUAUCAAGUCAGCUGUCAAAGACUGGGGCUCAACCCUGGUAUGCGGUUGAAACUGAUAUGCUGGAGUGCUGUAGAGGCAAGUGGAAUUCCCAGUGUAGCGGUGAAAUGCGUAGAUAUUGGGAGAACACCGGCGGCGAAGGCGACUUGGUGGGGAGCAACUGACGUGGAGGCGCGAAAGCGUGGGGAGCAAACAGGAGUAGAUCCCCUGGUGGUCCACGCCGUAAACGAUGAAUACUAGGUGUAGGGGGUAUCGACUCCCUCUGUGCCGCAGUUAACACAAUAAGUAUUCCGCCUGGGGAGUACGGCCGCAAGGUUGAAACUCAAAGGAAUUGACGGGG
This 395-nucleotide ribosomal RNA is filed under the name uncultured bacterium. Its description in RNAcentral is "partial 16S ribosomal RNA". It matches the Rfam family "Bacterial small subunit ribosomal RNA", at positions 523 to 918 of the family's 1533-position model. The record is from RNAcentral.